Molecule: ribosomal RNA, 1346 nt
Filed under: uncultured bacterium
Lineage: Bacteria
Description: partial 16S ribosomal RNA
Rfam family: Bacterial small subunit ribosomal RNA
Source: RNAcentral
GACGAACGCUGGCGGCGUGCUUAACACAUGCAAGUCGAACGGAAAGGCCCUGCUUUUGUGGGGUGCCCGAGUGGCGAACGGGUGAGUAACACGUGAGUAACCUGCCCUUGACUUUGGGAUAACUUCAGGAAACUGGGGCUAAUACCGGAUAGGAGCUCCUGCUGCAUGGUGGGGGUUGGAAAGUUUCGGCGGUUGGGGAUGGACUCGCGGCUUAUCAGCUUGUUGGUGGGGUAGUGGCUUACCAAGGCUUUGACGGGUAGCCGGCCUGAGAGGGUGACCGGCCACAUUGGGACUGAGAUACGGCCCAGACUCCUACGGGAGGCAGCAGUGGGGAAUAUUGCACAAUGGGCGGAAGCCUGAUGCAGCAACGCCGCGUGCGGGAUGACGGCCUUCGGGUUGUAAACCGCUUUCGCCUGUGACGAAGCGUGAGUGACGGUAAUGGGUAAAGAAGCACCGGCUAACUACGUGCCAGCAGCCGCGGUGAUACGUAGGGUGCGAGCGUUGUCCGGAUUUAUUGGGCGUAAAGGGCUCGUAGGUGGUUGAUCGCGUCGGAAGUGUAAUCUUGGGGCUUAACCCUGAGCGUGCUUUCGAUACGGGUUGACUUGAGGAAGGUAGGGGAGAAUGGAAUUCCUGGUGGAGCGGUGGAAUGCGCAGAUAUCAGGAGGAACACCAGUGGCGAAGGCGGUUCUCUGGGCCUUUCCUGACGCUGAGGAGCGAAAGCGUGGGGAGCGAACAGGCUUAGAUACCCUGGUAGUCCACGCUGUAAACGGUGGGUACUAGGUGUGGGGUCCAUUCCACGGGUUCCGUGCCGUAGCUAACGCUUUAAGUACCCCGCCUGGGGAGUACGGCCGCAAGGCUAAAACUCAAAGGAAUUGACGGGGCCCCGCACAAGCGGCGGAGCAUGCGGAUUAAUUCGAUGCAACGCGUAGAACCUUACCUGGGUUUGACAUGGAUCGGGAGUGCUCAGAGAUGGGUGUGCCUCUUUUGGGGUCGGUUCACAGGUGGUGCAUGCCUGCCGUCAGCUCGUGUCGUGAGAUGUUGGGUUAAGUCCCGCAACGAGCGCAACCCUUGUUCACUGUUGCCAGCACGUUAUGGUGGGGACUCAGUGGAGACCGCCGGGGUCAACUCGGAGGAAGGUGGGGAUGACGUCAAGUCAUCAUGCCCCUUAUGUCCAGGGCUUCACGCAUGCUACAAUGGCUGGUACAGAGAGUGGCGAGCCUGUGAGGGUGAGCGAAUCUCGGAAAGCCGGUCUCAGUUCGGAUUGGGGUCUGCAACUCGACCUCAUGAAGUCGGAGUCGCUAGUAAUCGCAGAUCAGCAACGCUGCGGUGAAUACGUUCCCGGGGCU